UACGUAGGGUGCAAGCGUUGUCCGGAAUUAUUGGGCGUAAAGAGCUCGUAGGCGGUUCGUCACGUCGGCUGUGAAAUCCCGAGGCUCAACCUCGGGUCUGCAGUCGAUACGGGCGGACUGGAGUACUGCAGGGGAGACUGGAAUUCCUGGUGUAGCGGUGAAAUGCGCAGAUAUCAGGAGGAACACCGGUGGCGAAGGCGGGUCUCUGGGCCGUAACUGACGCUGAGGAGCGAAAGCGUGGGGAGCGAACAGG
RNAcentral lists this ribosomal RNA (253 nucleotides) under uncultured bacterium. RNAcentral describes it as "partial 16S ribosomal RNA". It matches the Rfam family "Bacterial small subunit ribosomal RNA", at positions 524 to 776 of the family's 1533-position model. The record is from RNAcentral.